UUUCUUUGCAGGCCGAGAUUGACAGAGGAAGAGGAUUAGCAGUUAUGUUGUUUCAAAUAGAAGCAAACAUUGAAAGUUUGGUUACUGUAUGCGCAAAGGUGGAUCUUAUUUUGGGUGUGCUGGGAUGGUCCAGUGGCUGCAGCUGGCCAAAAUCAACAGAUAAUGCUCAAUUUCUUGAGUGUUAAAGCUAAAGCACUCAUGUUCUUGGUCAUGAAGUUUUGUCAUGUUCUCUGGAAAA
Long non-coding RNA from Brassica oleracea var. oleracea, 238 nucleotides. RefSeq lists it as uncharacterized. The transcript has 2 exons. NCBI's taxonomy places the organism in Eukaryota, Viridiplantae, Streptophyta, Magnoliopsida, Brassicales, Brassicaceae. The record is from RefSeq and is a predicted model, not a curated record.